UGGGGAAUCUUGUGCAAUGGGCGCAAGCCUGACACAGCAACGCCGCGUGCGGGAAGAAGGCCUUCGGGUCGUAAACCGCUUUCAGCAGGAACGAAAAUGACGGUACCUGCAGAAGAAGGUGCGGCCAACUACGUGCCAGCAGCCGCGGUGACACGUAGGCACCAAGCGUUGUCCGGAUUUAUUGGGCGUAAAGAGCUCGUAGGCGGUUCAGCAAGUCGGGUGUGAAAACUCUGGGCUUAACCCAGAGCCUGCACCCGAAACUGCUGUGACUAGAGUUCGGUAGGGGAGCGGGGAAUUCCUAGUGUAGCGGUGAAAUGCGCAGAUAUUAGGAGGAACACCGGUGGCGAAGGCGCCGCUCUGGGCCGAAACUGACGCUGAGGAGCGAAAGCGUGGGUAGCAAACAGG
RNAcentral lists this ribosomal RNA (405 nucleotides) under uncultured Acidimicrobiales bacterium. RNAcentral's name for it is "bacterial SSU rRNA". It matches the Rfam family "Bacterial small subunit ribosomal RNA", at positions 355 to 776 of the family's 1533-position model. The record is from RNAcentral. Lineage: Bacteria; Bacillati; Actinomycetota; Acidimicrobiia; Acidimicrobiales.